Molecule: long non-coding RNA, 434 nt
Organism: Fukomys damarensis (Damara mole-rat)
Lineage: Eukaryota; Metazoa; Chordata; Mammalia; Rodentia; Bathyergidae
Exons: 3
Source: RefSeq, a predicted model, not a curated record
CACCAAUAUUUCGGCUCUGGCCCUCCAAGACCAUCAAAGAUUCAAGGUAUGAAGGAACUGUUUCUACAACACCUUACAUCUUUGGGUUGUAUGCUGGAAUACACUGGGUCACAUCUAGACAGGAUUAGGUGAAGAGGAAUCAUACACUGAUUCUCACCCACAUCUGAUUAGCAGGAAGUAGCUACAGAAGACAGAUACUUCAUCCCUCUUCCUGAGGCCAUAACAAACAAAAAAGGGAGGAAUGUAAGGUAAGUGCCUUGGAAUGGCUGCUGCCAUUCUGAUAAGUAACUUCCUUCUUAACCUUAAAGUUUCCAUGUCCUACGUCACACAUCACUGGUCAGAUGCACAAACAAGGCUUGUCCAUAUAAGGAAUGGAUGCCCAAGCGUGGCCCCUGAGUGGCUGCCUGUGCAGCUGACACAAUCCCCAACCCACC